CUAUACUCCCCAGAACCACUGCAGCUUAAUGUAGUGGUUCUGGUGUCUAUAGCCUGUACCUGCAGGCCUUUUAAUGUAAACACGGCGGCACUGCAGCACUGGCGUUAGAUAACAUGGCAAAUCAUAUGGGUGGGGCAUUGUGAUGUCACAUGGGGGGGCGGCAAACUUUACUUUUGCCUAGGGCGGCAAAAAUCCUUGCACCGG
Non-coding RNA from Pelobates cultripes (western spadefoot toad), 204 nucleotides. The record is from the annotation of a GenBank genome assembly. Lineage: Eukaryota; Metazoa; Chordata; Amphibia; Anura; Pelobatidae.